Long non-coding RNA from Oncorhynchus tshawytscha (Chinook salmon), 2726 nucleotides. Lineage: Eukaryota; Metazoa; Chordata; Actinopteri; Salmoniformes; Salmonidae. The record is from Ensembl.
CACGCCUAGCUCUGCCCACUGGGGCGUGGCUCAUAGCGCUCUCUGGAAUAAGCGCUUGUUUCAAAUAUGUUUAAGUUAACCUCAUUAUUCUUUGCUCGUAUCGUCGUAUUCCACCCGAUCGAGUUCUCAUCACAUCACACCAGAAACAUGGUAUGCUGUCAUUUGACUUUACAACGUUUAUUUUAGAUUCAUUACAGGGCUCCGGAGUGGCGCCUCGGUGCAAGAGGCGUCCCUACAGUCCCUGGUUCGAAUACAGGCUGUAUGACAUCCGGCCGUGAUUGGGAGUCCCAUAGGGCGGCGCACAAUUGGCCCAGCGUCGUCCGGGGUUUUACGGUCAUUGUAAAUAAGAAUUUGGUUAAAUACAAUUACUCAAAAUGACGGCGCCGAAGCAGACACGACUUUUCACAGGGAAAUAGGCUAAUGUUGGUUGAUGAUUCGGACACGCACUUUGAAAAGCGAUGAUGUCGAGGAUUGGGCAGUGCUUCCUGAAGUUCCAUGACCUUUAGGCAAACGCAAAGACUAAAAGGUCAAGGCCAAUGGACAGCUUUGUAAAGGAUAUGCUGACUGAGUGUAACCUGGCCUUUUUGAUUCCGAAGUUUGAGGAUUGUUCGGGACUUCUCUAUUUGAACCCCGGACUGCUCGGUGAACCUCACUGAACUGGAUCGGGGUCUUCAAGGACCAAAAACUUUGCUUUGCCAGCUGACGAGCAGGCCCAAGAUCUUCUCUUCAAAGUGCAGAUGCACAAGGUGACAUCGUUUUAAGACUUCUGCCAGUGGUCCUCCCACACCAGUCUACAAGAUUGGCAGGAAGACAUUCCGACCCAGCUUCUAAGAGACCAGAAAGUCCUUCAUUGACUUGCAGCCUGUAAAUUUAAAUAGUCGAUAGGGAGAUGGAUGGGGAAAUUAGAUUAUAGCGUUUGUAAGCCUUGAAUGAACAGAACACCAUUCCAAUAUCUGUUAUGCAGAACGGCACACUCCAAGACAUUGUUGUGUAAAUUAACCUAUAGAUACUGUAGGCAGGCCCCUGAGUAUGGUACAGCCCAUUGCGCAUAUGUUAAAUUGCCUACUUAUAACAUGACAACGGCUGUAUUCAUUUUUACAUUUUUAUUAAUUCUAUAAACAUUUUGUAUGUGCUUGGUUGGUCACUUUUAACAUACUUCCAUGGUGUCUUAAUUAAAUACACUUUCAUCUAAAUGUAAAAUGUUAGCAUGAACAGAUACACUGUCGCAUGGAAGGUACGUCAUGAUUAUCAGCCGAAAAGACGAUUCCAACACUUUCUUAAAUAGCUCUGCUUUUAAGAUGCUGAUAAGCUGUUACGUACCAUUUUGUUUGAACAAUAUUAGGAGAAAAAGACAACCAAAUGAAGUUUCAUCAACUGCACAUGAACCAGGUUAGAAGUACCUCAUGGUUUCUGGCAAUUACGCUGUGAUGAUUAUGAUUGAAAGCUGUGAGCUCCUGUUACUCAAUACAUGUAUGUGUGUUCAAAGCACUUCAUCACUGGUAAGUCGGUAACACUUGUUUGUAUCUCACUAGCUAUGUGUAUUGCACAAAGCUUGCUAGUUAGCUUGUAGUAAGGACUAGUGAGCUGUAUCCAAAUAACAGCUAUAAUAUUCUUCUGCAUUUGGAUAUUUAUGCAAACCUGUAGAUUCCACCAUUUCAAAUUUCGCUACAUAAGACCGGAUUAAGCCGGUAGGUCACAUAUAGGCAAAAAUCCUCUUUUCUAAUUACCUAGACCGUUCAAAGGCAGGCAAAGACUAAGUAUUUACGCGACAUAUCUAAGACUAGCGAAUUAGAUUGAGAUGAACUUCUCUCACUAGAGUUGGCAGGUCGGGGAACACAUUAGCGUGGCAGAAUAAGUAUAAUGUAAAUCACGUUGUUGUGACAGACAAGUAUGUACCUCUUAUGGCUGCAUUCCUUGUUCUCAAUUUCCACCUGAAGACAUACCCUAAUCUAACUUCCUGUAGCUCAGCCCCAGAGGCAAGGAUAUGCAUAUUCUUGGUAUCAUUUGAAUGGAAACAUUCUGAAGUUUGUGGAAAUGUUAAUUGAAUGUAGGAGAAUAUAACACAGUAGAUCUGGUGGAAGAAAAGAGAAAGAAAGAGCAUACGUUUUCUGUUUUUUAUUGUAGUAUCAUCUUUCACAUGUACUAGAAUAGCUGGAGAUAAUUUGUAGGUGUGCAAAGUUUCAGACUGAUAACUUCAGGAAUGGGUGAGCUACAUGACAUUUAGCAUGAAGUCACCCAGGUGUCCCACACAAGUUGCCCAAAUGUACCCAAGUGGCCGAAUUGGUGAAAUUACCUAUAACUAUAUACAACAGUGCAAAUAACUAUAUACAACAUAUCAAAAAGCAAUUCUAACAUACACAAAAAAAAUGUUAAAACAUUUAUUUUCUAACAUUUAAAAAAAAAAAAAACAGUACACCCUUUGGAAGUCCUCUACACAAUAUUUUGCUGCCUGUGCCAUGUCCCAUAGCAGUCUCUUUCUGAUGUAAAGCAGAGGCAAACUGAACAAGUGGUGCAGGUCAUGUGACACAGAACACAACGACACCUCCAUGCUGUGCCCUUUUGGCCCUGAGACACAGUUAUGCCUGCAGUAAUGAACUGUGGCAUAUGAACACCACUGGAGGCAGGAGUAGAGGGGGCAGAGAUAGAGCGGGCAGUUUGGCACCGGGGGCUCCCAGUCGGAGUCGCUAUCACUGUGAAAGAAAACAAGAACAAUAUUUGUAUUGUAU